UGGACCAGUGAUGAUGGCCAGUGGUGUAGGAGUCACGGACGAUGAAGCUCUGUGUCUGAAACUCUGAGGUCCAA
This is a small nucleolar RNA of Suricata suricatta (meerkat), 74 nucleotides long. Lineage: Eukaryota; Metazoa; Chordata; Mammalia; Carnivora; Herpestidae. The record is from Ensembl.